RNAcentral lists this ribosomal RNA (253 nucleotides) under uncultured bacterium. Its description in RNAcentral is "partial 16S ribosomal RNA". It matches the Rfam family "Bacterial small subunit ribosomal RNA", at positions 524 to 776 of the family's 1533-position model. The record is from RNAcentral.
UACGUAGGGUGCAAGUGUUAAUCGGAAUUACUGGGCGUAAAGCGUGCGCAGGCGGCGCGUUAAGACAGGUGUGAAAGCCCCGAGCUUAACUUGGGAAUUGCGCUUGUGACUGGCGGGCUGGAGUGUGGCAGGGGGAGGUGGAAUUCCACGUGUAGCAGUGAAAUGCGUAGAGAUGUGGAGGAACACCGAUGGCGAAGGCAGCCUCCUGGGCCAGCACUGACGCUCAUGCACGAAAGCGUGGGGAGCAAACAGG